Molecule: long non-coding RNA, 1765 nt
Organism: Dendrobium catenatum
Lineage: Eukaryota; Viridiplantae; Streptophyta; Magnoliopsida; Asparagales; Orchidaceae
Exons: 2
Source: RefSeq, a predicted model, not a curated record
GCUAUAGUAAAACGGCUCUUUUAUGUUAUUAAUUCGCGCCAAAUGAAAAAUAAGGCGCCAAAAAUCGGAACGCGAUUGCGAAAUAAGCCCUAGCCCCUCAAUGCCUCGUCCCGACCUCUCGCUCUCCAAGUGCGACAUUUCUGUAGCGAUCUCCUCCAAGUGCGACAUCUCUCUAGCGAUUUCCUCCGAGCACGAUCUGCCUCCUUCCUAGCCGCCUCCUCCCCAACCGUGGACGACGGCGACGCUGACGCCCAAGCCAAAGCCGACGUUGAAUCCCUAGCUCAUUCUGUACGUCGUCUAGACCUCUCGCGAUCUCCUCCGAGAGCCCAUAUCGGACGUUGACAAUGAAGCCGACGCCGACACCGACACCAACGCCGACGCAUCUGCUUCCCUUCUAACAGAACUUCGCCGUUCUGUCGUUCGCCGCUCUCUUCUUCACCUUUUACUUCUUGAAUCAUACCUAAAAUUAAGCAAACAUUGGUUGAAUUUUAAAAUGAAUAAGAGUUGGAUAUCCAAGUCAAGAUGGUGGCUAUGAAGUGCAAAAGAGAAAUUAGGUGAUCAUUGAUGCUUAAAAGGGACACGAUGUUUUGUUUUGAAAUAUUAUAAGAAUUUUGAUUUUAUGUUCGGCUCUAGAUAGUAAUAUAAUAUUUUGAUGUAUGACAAUUUAGAUAUUUUUAUCUAGAUAGUAAUUUUGAUUUUAUGUUCGGUUCAGAGUGAUAGUUCAUUGUAAUUAGCUAAAUAUGAUGAUGGAAGUGUUGGAGAAAUGAGGUAUUCAAACUCCCACGUUUUAUGAUUUACAUAAUCUGCUUGUGGGCCAUCAGAUUGGCUCAACUGCUUACUUUCCUUAACAUGCAAAUUCCGAGGUAUUGUUUGAGGUGUAUGAUUUCUUGUCAUAAUGUUGGUUUUGUUAGAAUGUCAAAUCUGUUUUGGAUACUGCAAUCAAAGUUGUCUCCAACCUUCAAGGAAAAGGGAGAUUUUUAAGAAGAAGAAGAGUUUUGGUUGUUGAUGAUGUAAGUGCUCUGUUUUUUUCCUACACUUAUGAUUCUUGUUUGGUUUGCAAUCUUCUGCAGUGAUCAAUACUCCUGUUACUGCUAAUAUAAACAACGCAAUUAUAACUCCACCAGUUGCUACUGUACCAGUUGGAGUCAUAAAUCCAGCAGCUAGCUUUCUCCCGUCUUUAGACCCUCGUUUAUCUCAGGUUUAUGCAGCAUAACUCCUCUAAUUAACUCUCUUAUAUGACUUACGAUGAUAGUUUUAAAAAUGACUUAUAAUAAAUCUGCGCAUUUGGUAAUAUCCCAUGUUUUCUUUCCUUAUCUUUCCCUUCAUUUCUGUAAUGCAUGAUUCUUAUGUGCUGACCUUUCUUUCCGGUAUUGUUUGGCAUCCCAUCACUUUCGGUAUUGUUGGCAAUGGUUACUUUUUUCUGCAGGUUGCCUCUUUUUCCAUUCUCUUCUUCUAAUCACAUGGAUACAUAAGUGCAUGUUGUACAGUUCUCUAUUUAUAAAAUUAUAAUAUACUUAGUAGUUAAUAUAAGCUUAUAUUUCUUUUCUUUUUCAGGUUAAUCAAGCAAGGGUUUAGGAUUGAACAAGUGAUUGCUAGACGAGGGACUGACGAAGAGAGUUGGAUCACAUGAGCUGUUGUGGUUGCUAGUGAAUAUAUAUAUAUUUUUUGUGUAUUCACUGCUGUAUAUUUUAAGUCUUUGUAUUAGCCACUGAGAACUAGUUGUAUUCAUUUAAUUCUAUAUAUGUUGAAGAAUCAAUUUUGAUAU